Molecule: long non-coding RNA, 1013 nt
Filed under: Mus musculus (house mouse)
Lineage: Eukaryota; Metazoa; Chordata; Mammalia; Rodentia; Muridae
Description: long non-coding RNA chr15:82127937-82128950
Source: RNAcentral
GGUCUCCUAGCACUGCUGGCCGGUUGCUGUAGAGUUCCGCGCCUUGCCAGAGUUGGGUGCUUCCGGCUGCUCGCCAAGGGGCUGCUCCCUUCUCCCUGCACCGCCGGCCGGGGUAGGUAGUGGUGGGGGUGCCGGACUGUACUGUAGGCUUCUUGGGAGGGGAGUGCGGAGCCCCCCGCACUGCGUACGGGUUCGGGACUCGGACACCUAGAAAGGCUCGCUUGCCCCUCCGAAGCUCCAAGGCGCGGAACCAAAACCCCCGCCCGGCCACUACCACAGGCUCUACAAGACGAGUUCGGAGUCGCUUGCCGAGUCUGAAAGAGCGCUGGGGACGCUUGGGACAGAAGCGAGAUUUAGAGGCCGAAGAGUAGAGUAUCAGUCAUGAAAACCAGACCUGUCCCCCGCGGUCCGCUACUUUGCUUUCCCACGUUUGUCCUGCUUGAGUUAUCCUAGGUUGUCUGGUAAAUUUGUUUCCCUAAGUUUUGCUGUGGCCUGGUUCAAGUUCGCUUGGGUUCUGGAACAUGAGACGGAAGGUGGACGGUCCUGGAUAAUCUUUGUUCUGUAGAUUUCUGCUGUCCCGGCUCCGUGGGGGCAGGGGUUCUCCUAAGGAUCUCUCCCAGAGCAUCUCAAAUUCUGGGUGGGGGUGUGGCCAGCUUUGAUAUGAGAUGCCCUGUGCUUAUUUAGAGACAAGACACAGUGCACUGAACUGAGAGUAAGACUCCUGGCUCAGCCUAGGAACAGCUGUAAGACUCUGAAUAGUAACUUUUUUUUUUUUGUCCCCCAGUUUCCACAUUAGUAAAACAGGGUAUCUUUCAUCUGAGUAUGAGGCCUCUGUUGACUGUCAUUUUCCACCCUAGUCUAUCCAUUUUGGAAUUUUAGACAAGGCCUAGAUUACUCUCAAACUUAAGGACAUUCUCCAGCCUCAACCUCCCAAGUGGUGGGAUUAAAGUUAUGAGCCACUACUCCCAGCCCCCACAUAUUAAUGUUUCACUUGACCAAAUUCUUCUUAUCCU